Molecule: small RNA, 158 nt
Filed under: Arabidopsis thaliana (thale cress)
Lineage: Eukaryota; Viridiplantae; Streptophyta; Magnoliopsida; Brassicales; Brassicaceae
Description: ATSL180190
Source: RNAcentral
CUUUUUUUCAAUAUUUUCAUCAAUUUGAUCUUUGUACACCUCCGUUUUAAUUCUAAAUUUCUCGGCGCAGAAAAUUACCGGCAAAUUUCACGGAGAAACCUCACCGACGAAGCAAAGUUAUGACGGGCAAGGCUUUCCAAUUUUUGUUUAGACUAAAU